GGUGUCUGGAGCUCUACCCUUCUGCCCUAUCAGAUGCUCAGAAGUCCAUACAGCUCGCCCCUAUUGGCCAAGGGAUUCUUCCUCAAGGGGAGUGCACUGAUGGGGUUAAAGAGAUCGUUGCUGCUGGAGAAGUUUACAACAGUGCAGGCUGCUCUCGGCUCCCCUCUCAUGACUCCAGUGGUGGUCCUCUCCUCCCCUCAGGACUCCAGUGGUGGUCCUCUCCUCCCCUCAGGACUCCAGUGGUGGACCUCUCCUCCCCUCGGGACUCCAGUGGUAGACCUCUCCUCCUCUCAGGACUACAGUGGUGGACCUCUCCUCCCCUCGGGACUCCAGUGGUGGAACUCUCCUCCCCUCGGGACUCCAGUGGUGGACCUCUCCUCCCCUCGGGACUCCAGUGGUGGACCUCUCCUCCCCUCAGGACUCCAGUGGUGGACCUCUCCUCCCCUCAGGACUGCAGUGGUGGACCUCUCCUCCCCUCAGGACUCCAGUGGUGGACCUCUCCUCCCCUCGGGACUACAGUGGUGGACCUCUCCUCCCCUCAGGACUGCAGUGGUGGACCUCUCCUCCCCUCAGGACUCCAGUGGUGGACCUCUCCUCCUCUCAGGACUCCAGUGGUGGACCUCUCCUCCCCUCAGGACUCCAGUGGUGGACCUCUCCUCCCCACACCCAGUCUGUUGUUUGGUUAUUCCACAUCUAAAUUAUACAUAAUUUAAUGUGAGUGUAUAUACCUACAGCUAUAGGUUCUAUACUGUCCAAAAUAGCACCCUAUUCCUACAUAGUGCACUACUUUCUACCAGAACCUCAUGGUCUUGGUCAACCAUAGUGCACUGUGUAGGGGUUAGGGUGCCAUCUAGGUCACAUUCAUAAUGCUCUGUUGUUGUAAGGUUGCUGUAAUGGAUUUAUUCUGACCGUGGUCCCCUCCCUUCCUCUCAUCCUCAGGUCCCCCUGUCCCUGUCUCUGGGUGGGGUACGUCACCAUGGACCUCACUGAGAAACACAUGUUGGACCUCUUCAAAACGUAUGACCAUCAUGCCCCAUUUCUAUCUGUUUUAGUUCAGUAUCUGCAUCUCUAACUACAUGUUAGUUAACAGACACUCUUAUCCAGAGCGACUUACAGGACGACUUUCAGAGUUCAACAUUCUAAUUCUAUCUCCCCUCACCUACAGUACAGAACAUAGAGAGUAUCACAGUUCUACAUUCUAAUUCUAUCUCCCCUCAUCUACAGUAAAUAACAUAGAAAUAGAAUGUAGAACUCUAAUACUCUCUAUGUUCUGUCUCUCCCUAGUUGUGGUUAUAUGUGUGGUGAGAUAGAGAGUAUCAGAGUUCUCCAUGAAAGAUUUUGUGCCUUUGUCAACAUCAAGAAUACCAACAUGGCUGCUCGCGCCUUGGAGAGGCUCCAGGUGAGUGGUGGGAUGAAACAUAAUGCUGUCAAAUGCAUUUAACUAUGUGAGAUGUGCUUUCAAUUAUUUAGCAUGCACUUUAGGAGAUUGUACUUUUGGGAAUAUGCUAUUGGUUCCUUUGUUCUAUUGGGACAAUGCUAUUGGUUCCAUUGUACUAUUGAGACUAGGCUAUUGGUUCCAUUGUUCUUUUUUGACUCUGUUAUUGGUUACAUUGAACUUUUGGGACUAUGCUAUUGGUUCCAUUUAAUGUAUUUUGACAGUGGCUGCUGUUGUAUGUAUUUUGACUGUGGCUGCUGUUGUAUGUAUUUUGACUGUGGAUGCUGUUGUAUGUAUUUUGACUGUGGAUGCUGUUUGUCCUACUGUCCAGGGGGUGGAGCUGGAGAGCACCAGACUGGUGAUUAGGUACCCAGACCGCUAGGUCCUCUCCUCAGACCUCAACACCUCCUCAGCCUCCCAGUACGCCGCCACAGGGUAAGGACAUCCGACUAUGUCAAAACAUCAACUAUAAUUUAUAAACAUAUUUAAGCAUUUAUAAUGUUUUAUUCUAAAUUGUUACUAAUCUAUGGGCCAUGAAUUGUACAAAAUUACAGACAACUGACAGAAGGUGGGGACGGGAUUGUGUUUUCAUACUGUUUGUGUCUCUCUCCCAAGCCCAGGAGGAUGGCUCCCAUCAAUCGUGAUGAGUGUUUCUUCUGGAGGACCACUGGCUGUCUCUAUGGUGACAAAUGUCGCAUCAAACACAAGCCUGACCAUAGAGGAAGAGACAGGAAACCAUGGCAACCCUGACCACCCUGACCACCCAGACUAACCUGAACACCCUGAACAUCACGCACCGUCCGGAUAUAACAGAGGGAGGAAGAAGAGGAGGAAGAGGAAGAACAGAAUAAUGAAAAUGAAGAUUGAGGAAGAGGGACCGUGUACCUACUUUAAAAGGGAACAGGAAGCUUGGAUAGAAUGGGGGUGUUGGGUGGUAUCACCACUUUUGUAGUCCUCUGACACACAGAACACUGGACGUACAGUAUGAGUGUGUGAAGUGUCAAUCAAAGUGAAGAGCAGUGCUCCUCUGAUUUCCUUUCCCCUCUCCCUCGGCCUGAGCUGUUUUUGAAUUGAAUUACAAUUGAAUAUAGGGCAUGUUCCAGGCAGACUAUAUUGCAGUCGCCUGCCAGAUCUCACAAUGCCUGGAUAGGUGUUUGUGUUUAAGAUAUCAGUUAACCCGUGAUUCCCGACUGCGCAAUCGAUAAUGUGGCACACAACCAUUGGUUGGUGCGCACAGAUUGACUGCAAUGUAGUCAGCCUGGAACGCCCCCAGUGUCCAUGUGGUGUUCUAACAUCCACACUAGACCACCUAAACUGAAACAAGUAGUGUGCUACUGUGGAUAUUAGAACGAGGCCCAUAUCUUCAGUUCAGUGAAUUUAUACUGUAUAUGUAUGUUCAGUGGACUAAUAAUGUAUGUUCAUUGGACUAAUACAUUUAUGUUCAGUGGACUAAUACAUGUCUGUUCAGUGGACUAAUACAUGUCUGUUCAGUGGACUAAUACAUGUAUGUUCAGUGGACUAAUACAUGUAUGUUCAGUGGACUAAUACAUGUAUGUUCAGUGGACUAAUACAUGUAUGUUCAGUGGACUAAUACAUGUCUGUUCAUUGGACUAAUACAUGUCUGUUCAGUGGACUAAUACAUGUCUGUUCAGUGGACUAAUACAUGUCUGUUCAGUGGACUAAUACAUGUCUGUUCAGUGGACUAAUACAUGUCUGUUCAGUGGACUAAUACAUGUAUGUUCAGUGGACUAAUACAUGUCUGUUCAGUGGACUAAUACAUGUCUGUUCAGUGGACUAAUACAUGUCUGUUCAGUGGACUAAUACAUGUCUGUUCAGUGGACUAAUACAUGUCUGUUCAGUGGACUAAUACAUGUCUGUUCAGUGGACUAAUACAUGUAUAUUCAGUGGACUAAUACAUGUCUGUUCAGUGGACUAAUACAUGUAUGUUCAGUGGACUAAUACAUGUAUGUUAAGUGGACUAAUACAUGCAUGUUAAGUGGACUAAUACAAUUGAAGUUGACUAAAGUGACAAUAUGAGGAGCACAGAAUGACUGAGAGCAUCAAUGUAAAAUGACAAUCUGUCUGUAUCGUCUCAGCAUGUGGGGGAGCUGG
Long non-coding RNA from Salmo trutta (river trout), 3547 nucleotides. The record is from Ensembl. NCBI's taxonomy places the organism in Eukaryota, Metazoa, Chordata, Actinopteri, Salmoniformes, Salmonidae.